UACGGAGGGUGCAAGCGUUAUCCGGAAUCAUUGGGUUUAAAGGGUGCGUAGGCGGCUUUGUAAGUCAGUGGUGAAAUAUGGCAGCUUAACUGUCAGGGUGCCAUUGAUACGGCGGAGCUUGAGUACAGAUGAGGUAGGCGGAAUUGACGGUGUAGCGGUGAAAUGCUUAGAUAUCGUCAAGAACACCUAUAGCGAAGGCAGCUUACUAGGCUGUAACUGACGCUGAGGCACGAAAGUGUGGGGAUCAAACAGG
Molecule: ribosomal RNA, 253 nt
Filed under: uncultured bacterium
Lineage: Bacteria
Description: partial 16S ribosomal RNA
Rfam family: Bacterial small subunit ribosomal RNA
Source: RNAcentral